UCGAGAAUCUUCGGCAAUGGGCGCAAGCCUGACCGAGCGACGCCGCGUGGAGGACGAAGGCCUUCGGGUUGUAAACUCCUGUCGAGGGGGAGGAAGCCGCAAGGUUGACCGAUCCCUGGAGGAAGCACGGGCUAAGUUCGUGCCAGCAGCCGCGGUAAGACGAACCGUGCGAACGUUAUUCGGAAUCACUGGGCUUAAAGCGCGUGUAGGCGGACGGGCGCGUCGGACGCUGAAAUCCCCCGGCUCAACCGGGGAAGUGGCUCCGAUACGGCCCGUCUGGAGGGGGGUAGGGGGCGCUGGAACUCACGGUGGAGCGGUGAAAUGCGUUGAGAUCGUGAGGAACGCCCGCGGCGAAAGCGAGCGCCUGGACCCUUUCUGACGCUGAGACGCGAAAGCCAGGGGAGCGAACGG
This 411-nucleotide ribosomal RNA is filed under the name uncultured bacterium. RNAcentral describes it as "bacterial SSU rRNA". It matches the Rfam family "Bacterial small subunit ribosomal RNA", at positions 355 to 775 of the family's 1533-position model. The record is from RNAcentral.